CCGUCCGACUGCGAGCCCUGGGAGUUUAGAGGGAGACACGAGCCCUCCCACCUCCUGGGGUCCCACACACCGUGCUCAGGCUGGGAGGUUCAGGCCGGGACUAGGGGCCCUUGGCCACAAGGGAGCCACCUUCCUUCCCAACCUGGGGAGGUGCUGGGGCUGCUGGGUUGACGGCAGGGGCGUCUCCGCUGUGCCAGCCGGGGUCACCUCUCUCCCCAGAGUCGCUGCCGCCGCCCUACCGCCUGCAGCAGGCGAGUGUGCAGGUGCUGGAGAACGCCGUCUGUGAGCAGCCCUACCGCAACGCCUCAGGGCACACUGGCGACCGGCAGCUCAUCCUGGAUGACAUGCUGUGUGCCGGCAGCGAGGGCCGAGACUCCUGCUACGGUGACUCCGGCGGCCCUCUGGUCUGCAGGCUGCGGGGGUCCUGGCGCCUGGUGGGGGUGGUCAGCUGGGGCUACGGCUGUACCCUGCGGGACUUUCCCGGCGUCUACACCCACGUCCAGAUCUACGUGCUCUGGAUCCUGCAGCAAGUCGGGGAGUUGCCCUGAGCAGGCUGGGCUGGGCUCCCACCUGGGUCGGCUGAGGAGGGACCAGGACCUUCCUCCUCCCAGCGAUCUCCGCUUCGGCCUCCGCUGCAGGCCACCGUCUUGAGCCCGGCUUCUCUGGCUCCUCAGCGCCCAGGACCUCCCUGAUGCCGGGGUGGGGAAGGGGCCGGGGAAGGGAGGGUGGGGGCCUCGCUGCGUCUCUGUCUGAUUAAAGAGCAAGAGCAGAGUGUGUGGCGUCUCUGUGGGAUGGAUUUGCAUUCCAAGCUGCAGCCAGGUGCGGUUUGCUCAGCCACCUCCUGUUGGAGGCCUCCACAUUUUGGCUAUGGUAAUAAAGAUGCUGAGAACAUUCAU
Homo sapiens (human) is the source of this 896-nucleotide long non-coding RNA. NCBI's taxonomy places the organism in Eukaryota, Metazoa, Chordata, Mammalia, Primates, Hominidae. The record is from Ensembl.